CUCACACAUUUCUCCCCCUCUCUUCAUCUUCUUCGGCUCCACCAGCUGCCUCCGGUCCGCCGCCGCCGAAACCUUAGCCUCCUCCAGCUCCUUGACCUCGGCAGAGCCAUGGCGAUGCGGGCUUGCAGGAGGUUCUUGUAGCCAGAAGGGUCAGUUCCCCAGUCCCCACCUACAAGUACGCGAGUGUAGUGUGACCUUCGCCGCCGCCGCCGUCUCCAUGACGACCAUCAAUCCCUUUGAACUCCUGGGCGCCGACGACAACGACGACCCCACGCAGCUGCUGGCCGCCGCCGCGGCAGCCAAGCAGAAGGCCGAGGCGAAGAAGCAAGCGGCGGCGGCGACCGCCGGCCCCGCCAAGUUGCCAACCAAGCCU
This 373-nucleotide long non-coding RNA is filed under the name Sorghum bicolor (sorghum). RNAcentral's name for it is "long non-coding RNA (SBIC_LNC016759)". Lineage: Eukaryota; Viridiplantae; Streptophyta; Magnoliopsida; Poales; Poaceae. The record is from RNAcentral.